Acanthosepion pharaonis is the source of this 96-nucleotide non-coding RNA. The record is from the annotation of a GenBank genome assembly. NCBI's taxonomy places the organism in Eukaryota, Metazoa, Mollusca, Cephalopoda, Sepiida, Sepiidae.
UUGAAACACCGGUUCUCUUACAAUUACCAAAGUUAAGCAAUGUUGAGCCUAGUCAGCACCUAGAUGGGUGACUGCUUGAGAAUACCAGGUGCUAUA